Molecule: ribosomal RNA, 387 nt
Filed under: uncultured soil bacterium
Lineage: Bacteria
Description: bacterial SSU rRNA
Rfam family: Bacterial small subunit ribosomal RNA
Source: RNAcentral
AGGACGAACGCUUGCGGCAUGCCUGAGAAAUGCAAGUCGAACGAAUCUCAAGGAGCAAUCUUUGGGGUUAGUGGCGAACGGUCGAGUAACACGUAAGCAACCUGCCCGGAAGCGGGGGAUAAGCCGUCGAAAGACGGGGUAAUACCGCAUACCUUCAUGUAGGACAUCCUUAAAUGAAGAAAGGUUUACCACUUCCGGAGGGGCUUGCGGCCUAUCAGCUAGUUGGGGGGGUAACGCCCACCAAGGCGACGACGGGUAGCUGGUCUGAGAGGACGGCCAGCCGGACUGGGACUGAGACACGGCCCAGACUCCUACGGGGGGCAGCAAUCAGGAAUCUUGCGCAAUGGGCGAAAGCCUGACGCAGCGAUGCCGCGUGACGAUGAAGUC